This 466-nucleotide ribosomal RNA is filed under the name uncultured bacterium. RNAcentral describes it as "partial 16S ribosomal RNA". It matches the Rfam family "Bacterial small subunit ribosomal RNA", at positions 28 to 507 of the family's 1533-position model. The record is from RNAcentral.
GAUGAACGCUGGCGGCGUGCUUAACACAUGCAAGUCGAACGAUGAAGCCCAGCUUGCUGGGUGGAUUAGUGGCGAACGGGUGAGUAACACGUGAGUAACCUGCCCUUGACUCUGGGAUAAGCCUGGGAAACUGGGUCUAAUGCUGGAUAUGACUUCUCAUCGCAUGGUGGGGGGUGGAAAGAUUUAUUGGUCUUGGAUGGACUCGCGGCCUAUCAGCUUGUUGGUGAGGUAAUGGCUCACCAAGGCGACGACGGGUAGCCGGCCUGAGAGGGUGACCGGCCACACUGGGACUGAGACACGGCCCAGACUCCUACGGGAGGCAGCAGUGGGGAAUAUUGCACAAUGGGCGCAAGCCUGAUGCAGCGACGCCGCGUGAGGGAUGACGGCCUUCGGGUUGUAAACCUCUUUCAGUAGGGAAGAAGCGAGAGUGACGGUACAUGCAGAAGAAGCGCCGGCUAACUACGUG